RNAcentral lists this transfer RNA (88 nucleotides) under Oryctolagus cuniculus (rabbit). It matches the Rfam family "tRNA". Rfam says of the family: Transfer RNA (tRNA) molecules are approximately 80 nucleotides in length. Their secondary structure includes four short double-helical elements and three loops (D, anti-codon, and T loops). Lineage: Eukaryota; Metazoa; Chordata; Mammalia; Lagomorpha; Leporidae. The record is from Rfam by way of RNAcentral.
CCUUCGAUAGCUCAGUUGGUAGAGCGGAGGACUGUAGUGGAAGCUCUCAGGCAUCCUUAGGUCGCUGGUUCGAAUCCGGCUCGAAGGA